UUAUAGCAAAAGCAGCCAUGUCAGUCACUUAAUGUUUCUUAAGAAUCCCUGUCUUUGUCCAUUUUGUUUUGCUAUUAAAAGAAAAAAAAAAACCUGCCACUGGAUAAUUUAUAAAGAAAAGAGGUUUAUUUAGUUCAGGGUUCUGCAGGCUGAGAAGUUCAAGGGCAUGGCCCUGGCUUCUGGCGAGGGCUUUCCUGCUGCAUUGACACAGGGAGAAAGGUCAAAGGGGAAGUGAAUAUGUGCGGAGAGGGGGAAUCCUGAGGGGUCUCCAGCUAUAUAACAACCCACUCUCAUGGGAACAAAUCCACUCCUGUAAGAACAGCUCACUACUGCCUGAACAGCACCACAUCAUUCAUGCGAGAUCCCUCCCCAUGACCCAAACACCUCCUGCCAGGCCCCACCUCCCAACAUCACCACACCGGGGAUCAAAUUUCAACUUGAGUUUUGGUGGGGACAAACAAACCACAUCCAAACCACUGCAAAUCCCAUACAUACCAGGGCUCCACUCCAGACCCACUGAAUUGAAUCCUUUGGGGAUGGUGCCUGAAAAAAAUAUAUUUUAAACACCCAAGGGGUUCUGACACUUGGUUGAGUUUGGGAUCUUCUGGACUGGAAGGAACUCUCAGGCUUUGAGUGGAGACCUUGGAUCUGUUCCAGGUUUUGCCAAUAACUUUCUGUUGUCCCUGCGUGACUUUGGGCACGUCACUUUCCUGUGUACUGUCUCUAAGAAUGUUGGAUUCUGAUAAGUCAAUUCCCACUUGUGUCCCUGGAGCCCUAGGGUUUCCUCGGAGGCUCCAGAAGUUUCUAAGGGGUCAGUAGAAUGAAGACAGUAGGUUGGGCUCUGGAUUCCCUGCCUCGAGAGUUAAUCCUAGGAGCUGCUAAAGGUCUAUUUACAAAGCUUCACAUGAAGCCAGAUCAACAUCUGGGAACAUCUGCCUGGGAUGCAGGACAUGGGCAGCCCCAGAACUAGUUUCAGGUGGCUUACAUGGGCAUGGUUAUUGCAGAAAUCACAUUUUAAAAGUGUUAAUCUCAUCAAGAGACUUGGACUGUGGCAUCUUUAUUUCUGUGAGUUGUGACUUUCUCGUCCUUGGAAGUAAGGAGUGAACUAGACUCCACAAACGAGUUUAACAUUUUGCCCUUCUAAUUGUCUACACCAAAUCCAUGCCUCCCUCCCCUGUGAGCAGACUUUGGUAGAAUGUUCCUCAUGCCUUCAACCAGGGUGAGCCAGACGAGCCCCGGGGAACACGAUGCAUGACCUUGGCCUUGUUACCAUGUGCAAUGUAUUGAAUUGCAGACCUCCAAAAUUUAUAUAUUGAAGCCCUAGUCCCAGUAUGACUGUACUUGGAGAGCCUUUAUGGAGGUGACUAAGGUUAAGUGAGGUCAUAAAGGCGGAGUUCUAAUUUAAUAGGAUUGGCGCCCUUAUAAGAAGAGGAAGAGAGAGAUCGCUUUCCACUGAAAUGUACCGAGGAAAGGCUAUGUGAGGACAUAGCCCAGAAGAGGCCCUCACCAGAGCCCAGCUAUGCUGGCACCCUGACCUCCUGCUCCAGCCUCCAGACUGUGAGGAAAUACGUUUCCAUGGUUGAAGCCACCCAGUCUAUGGUAUUUUGUUGUGGCUGCCUGAGCUAAGACACCAUCACACAAUGACCAGGGAGGCUCUUUGGCCGUGGUCAGCAGAGGCAGCUGUGCCACUGCCUGUGGGUGCCACGCCUGCCUCACAGCAGCAACUUCCUCAUAAGAAAGUCUCUGCUGUUAUUUAGAUGUGUGUCUUGUCUCCCAGACUCAGAUACAAGCCCAUCAAGGCAGUGAGGUUGACAUCUUUUUUUCUGACUUGUCUGCAAACCCGUCAUGAGGAUUGUUGCACAGUCAUGUUUGGGUAAUGCCACGUACAGUCUUUCCUUCUUAGGCAAUUAUAUUAGCAGUUAAAGGCUCUGAGAAGUUUUGCAAUGAAGAUGCUGUCAUAAGUUUGUCUAAUUCAGCAUUUGACAACAGAACUGAUUUUCCUAGCAACAUUUUGGUCCAGAGAGAAGGUGAUGCAAGAUGCAGAAAUGACUGAGAGUAUGGUGAGCACUUGUUCACUACGCCAGAAAUAAAAGAUCAUUGAAGUGAGAUUGAUUAAAACUACAAUCAAUAAAAGAUCAUUGAAGUGAAAUUGAUUAAAACUACAAUCAUUGUCAAAUAACCACAUUUAACUCCUCUCUUAAAACUUGUCACUUAAGACACUCUGUUAACUAAAUCUCUUUAAAGUAUUAAAUCAUGUCAUUGUUCGUAUGUAAAUGUAUUUCCAUUUGUAGGAUUAGCAGAUAAAACACCAAUUCUUAUUUCUACUUAAUCUCAUAUUCUGUAUUCCCCAAAUUUACAAAGAUA
Molecule: long non-coding RNA, 2364 nt
Filed under: Homo sapiens (human)
Lineage: Eukaryota; Metazoa; Chordata; Mammalia; Primates; Hominidae
Description: HSALNT0129267
Source: RNAcentral